RNAcentral lists this ribosomal RNA (253 nucleotides) under uncultured bacterium. RNAcentral describes it as "partial 16S ribosomal RNA". It matches the Rfam family "Bacterial small subunit ribosomal RNA", at positions 524 to 776 of the family's 1533-position model. The record is from RNAcentral.
UACGGGGGGGGCGAGCGUUAUUCGAAAUGAUUGGGCGUAAAGAGCGUGUAGGCGGUUCGGUAAGUCUGCUGUGAAAUCCUGGGGCUCAACCCUGGGCGUGCAGCGGAUACUGCCGGGCUAGAGGGUGGUAGAGGCGAGUGGAAUUCCGAGUGUAGCGGUGAAAUGCGCAGAUAUUCGGAGGAACACCAGUAGCGAAGGCGGCUCGCUGGGCCACACCUGACGCUGAGACGCGAAAGCGUGGGGAGCGAACAGG